GGGGCUGUCUGCUAGUGGUAGGCUACACCCUUGGGGUGGGUGUGACGCGAGUUCGAUUCUUGCCAGCCCCA
RNAcentral lists this transfer RNA (71 nucleotides) under Candidatus Woesearchaeota archaeon. RNAcentral's name for it is "tRNA-Pro". It matches the Rfam family "tRNA". From Rfam's summary of the family: Transfer RNA (tRNA) molecules are approximately 80 nucleotides in length. Their secondary structure includes four short double-helical elements and three loops (D, anti-codon, and T loops). Further hydrogen bonds mediate the characteristic L-shaped molecular structure. tRNAs have two regions of fundamental functional importance: the anti-codon, which is responsible for specific mRNA codon recognition, and the 3' end, to which the tRNAs corresponding amino acid is attached (by aminoacyl-tRNA synthetases). tRNAs cope with the degeneracy of the genetic code in two manners: having more than one tRNA (with a specific anti-codon) for a particular amino acid; and 'wobble' base-pairing, i.e. permitting non-standard base-pairing at the 3rd anti-codon position. The record is from RNAcentral. Lineage: Archaea; Nanobdellati; Candidatus Woesearchaeota.